AUGGACAUCGAUCUCAACGUUCCAGCGGAUGAUGUCCCGGAAGAGCCGGUGCCGACGUGGGGAGAAUGCCCGCAGCUGUACCUCUCGUACAGCAUCGCCACUCGCAACGACCGGCUCCCGUUCCUGAAGGACGCCAUCGCCGCCGUGAAGUCGUUCACGGUGCUGUCCCCGCCGUUGGGACUCGAUUUUUUCGGGGUCUUCGACGGGAUCUUGGGCGCCAAGUUCGUGGAGCACAUGGAAGAGCGGCUGCACGGCGCCAUCGCCAAGGAGAUAGAGCGGGACCUGCGCGCCGACUCCCCGCGGGCUCGGGGCGACAUCGUGGGCUGGUGGAGGGUGAUCAUUGAGGAAGCUUUCCGCGUGGUGGACAACGAGGUGGUCGCUGGUGGCCGUGGUGGCAUCGAUGCUCCUGCGCGCGUCGCCUCCGGGGCCCUCGCCGUGCUGGUUCUAGAGGACUACUUCGUGCUCGCCAACCGCGGCGCUUCUAGGGCCGUGAUCUACCGCGGCUCUGAGGCUGUGCCGCUCACCCGUGAGCACACGCCUAUGCCACAAAAUGCAGGAGGUGAUGUGGUUGGAUCUACCAGCAGAGUUGAAGACGUUAUGCCUCCUCACGCUUUUUUUGGUAGCUCAAAGAUUAUGGCUACUGCCCCAGAACCUGAGGUCGUCGCAGUGAAGCGGAAGCCACGGGACAAGUUCCUGAUCCUGGCCACCCGCGGGCUGUGGGACUUCGUCACUCCAGGCGACGCGUGCGCCUUCAUCGAGAAAAGAUUGAGCGAGUACGCGCAGCAGAUCAUCAUGUCGUCAGGCAAGAAGCCAACAAACAGCAGCGGCCCUCCCUGUGCCAACAUACUCGCCAAUGAGUUGGCCGCACAUGCGAUCAGCAAGGGCACCAAGCACAACGUGAACAUCGUCGUCAUACUGCUCAAGAAUUUCUGGGACCAGAGUUUUCCCUCAACUUGUAAGAAGUGA
Molecule: ribosomal RNA, 966 nt
Filed under: Triticum aestivum (bread wheat)
Lineage: Eukaryota; Viridiplantae; Streptophyta; Magnoliopsida; Poales; Poaceae
Description: partial small subunit ribosomal RNA
Source: RNAcentral